RNAcentral lists this ribosomal RNA (467 nucleotides) under uncultured bacterium. RNAcentral describes it as "partial 16S ribosomal RNA". It matches the Rfam family "Bacterial small subunit ribosomal RNA", at positions 28 to 507 of the family's 1533-position model. The record is from RNAcentral.
GAUGAACGCUGGCGGCGUGCUUAACACAUGCAAGUCGAACGGAAAGGCCCAAGCUUGCUUGGGUACUCGAGUGGCGAACGGGUGAGUAACACGUGGGUGAUCUGCCCUGCACUUCGGGAUAAGCCUGGGAAACUGGGUCUAAUACCGGAUAGGACCACUUCUUGGAUGUUGUGGUGGAAAGUUUUUUCGGUGUGGGAUGAGCUCGCGGCCUAUCAGCUUGUUGGUGGGGUAAUGGCCUACCAAGGCGUCGCCGGGUAGCCGGCCUGAGAGGGUGUACGGCCACAUUGGGACUGGGAGACGGCCCAGGCUCCUACGGGAGGGAGCAGUGGGGAAUAUUGCACAAUGGGCGCAAGCCGGAUGCAGCGACGCCGCGUGGGGGAAGACGGCCUUCGGGUUGUAAACUCCUUUCGCUAGGGACGAAGCGUUUUGUGACGGUACCUGGAGAAGAAGCACCGGCUAACUACGUG